ACAGAGCCCGUGAAUCCGGGCGCGCGGAAUUCAGGACCGACCGCGGCGCGCGUGCGUGUCGCCGGUCGAUUCGAUAUUUCCGCCGCCGACCCGCAACCGCGGGUGUCGGACGUCGCGACCCGUUCGCGUCGAACCGCGGGGGCGCGUUCGAGUUCGUUCGCGCGUUUCGCCUCUUCGCGGGGGCGAGCGCGCAGCGACGGCGCGCUCUCCACUUCGUUCUGUCGCGGACGGUAGCUUUGCGCGCGGGUAUUCGGCGCGGCCCGUUCCGCUCGGCGUUCGCGUCGGGCGGGCGCCGCGUCGACGCCGGUCAGCGACGAAUCUUCGGGCCUCUUUCCGACCCGUCUUGAAACACGGACCAAGGAGUCUAACGUGCGCGCGAGUCGCGGGGUAUCCGAGUCCGCUGAGGUGUUCUGCGCCGACGCGACUCGCUACGAUGCGAAACCCGUGUACGUACGUUGUGCGAAGGCGUAAUGAAAGUGAAGGUGGCCGCGCGUUUUUUUACGCGCGUCACUCGGGAAGACGGUGUACCGAGUACACGUUUCGCGGUCACGUAGGUGCCGCGGCCGGGCACCCGCAUUCCCGGGGCGUCCCGCUCGUACGUCGGCGGUGCGGACGGCUUCGCGGCCGUCGGCCGUCGGCGAACUGGGGCGCACCUAUAGCGUGCACGUUGGUACCCGAAAGAUGGUGAACUAUGCCCGGCCAGGAU
RNAcentral lists this ribosomal RNA (706 nucleotides) under Nipponaclerda biwakoensis. RNAcentral describes it as "partial 28S ribosomal RNA". The stretch from base 355 to 706 matches the Rfam family "Eukaryotic large subunit ribosomal RNA", at positions 665 to 847 of the family's 3401-position model. The record is from RNAcentral. Lineage: Eukaryota; Metazoa; Arthropoda; Insecta; Hemiptera; Aclerdidae.